Long non-coding RNA from Ostrea edulis (European flat oyster), 327 nucleotides. RefSeq lists it as uncharacterized. The transcript has 2 exons. NCBI's taxonomy places the organism in Eukaryota, Metazoa, Mollusca, Bivalvia, Ostreida, Ostreidae. The record is from RefSeq and is a predicted model, not a curated record.
UAAACAUUUCUUUUGCAGAAGUCAUUGGUUGGUCUGAAAUUUGACAAACGUGUCAAGAUGUAACAUUCGUGAUGUAACAUUCGUUACCGAGAAAUUAAUUAAAGGGAAUGAUAGAACAAUUUCCGGCGUAUUUUUGCUCUCUCUCUGCAUGAUGUGGUAUACGACAUGAACGUCUACUAUGAACAUUUGAGUUUGAAAGUCAAUACGUGUUAAACUUUGAGAAUUAUGAUUAAUUUUCUCUUACGAAAUGGCGCUUGUGAGAGUAGAAGUACAGAAUAACUACCAUGAAAAAAAAUGUAUUAAAACAUAAGAACAACCAUGAAAAAA